GAUGAAGAACGCAGCGAAAUGCGAUAAGUAAUGUGAAUUGCAGAAUUCAGUGAAUCAUCGAAUCUUUGAACGCACAUUGCGCCCGCCAGCAUUCUGGCGGGCAUGCCUGUUCGAGCGUCAUUUCAACCCUCAAGACCCCUUCGGGGGACUUGGUGUUGGGGACCGGCACAGGGGCCUGCCUGCUUGUCUUGCAGCGCCCUCGCCGCCCCCGAAAUGAAUUGGCGGCCUCGUCGCGGCCUCCCCUGCGUAGUAGCACAAACCUCGCAACGGGAACGUGACGGCGGCCACUGCCGUAAAACAACCCAAUUUUAUUAGAGUUGACCUCGAAUCAGGUAGGAAUACCCGCUGAACUUAAGUAUAUCAAUAAGCGGAGGA
RNAcentral lists this unclassified non-coding RNA (375 nucleotides) under soil metagenome. Its description in RNAcentral is "partial contains 5.8S ribosomal RNA, internal transcribed spacer 2, and large subunit ribosomal RNA". The stretch from base 1 to 120 matches the Rfam family "5.8S ribosomal RNA", at positions 35 to 154 of the family's 154-position model. The record is from RNAcentral.